Molecule: ribosomal RNA, 429 nt
Filed under: Bacteroidota bacterium
Lineage: Bacteria; Pseudomonadati; Bacteroidota
Description: Bacteroidetes bacterium partial 16S ribosomal RNA
Rfam family: Bacterial small subunit ribosomal RNA
Source: RNAcentral
UAGGGAAUCUUCCGCAAUGGGCGAAAGCUUGACGGAGCAACGCCGCGUGAGUGAUGAAGGUCUUCGGAUCGUAAAACUCUGUUAUUAGGGAAGAACAAAUGUGUAAGUAACUAUGCACGUCUUGACGGUACCUAAUCAGAAAGCCACGGCUAACUACGUGCCAGCAGCCGCGGUAAUACGUAGGUGGCAAGCGUUAUCCGGAAUUAGUGGGCGUAAAGCGCGCGUAGGCGGUUUUUUAAGUCUGAUGUGAAAGCCCACGGCUCAACCGUGGAGGGUCAUUGGAAACUGGAAAACUUGAGUGCAGAAGGAGAAAGUGGAAUUCCAUGUGUAGCGGUGAAAUGCGCAGAGAUAUGGAGGAAAACCAGUGGCGAAGGCGACUUUCUGGUCUGUAACUGACGCUGAUGUGCGAAAGCGUGGGGAUCAAACAGG